This is a long non-coding RNA of Alosa sapidissima (American shad), 1118 nucleotides long. RefSeq lists it as uncharacterized. The transcript has 2 exons. The record is from RefSeq and is a predicted model, not a curated record. Lineage: Eukaryota; Metazoa; Chordata; Actinopteri; Clupeiformes; Clupeidae.
UUAUAAAUGGAAUCCGAGGUAAAGGCUAAAUAAAUAAACUGUACACUACUACGCUGUUUGCAUACAACACACCAUUAUAAUAGUAGCCUAAUUUGAAACAUGUUUAACUUUAAAUUAAUAAGCUGAUAGCUAUACAAUAUUAAAGUGUCAUAGGUAGCUUAGACUAUAUAUCAUGUCAUUACAGCUGUACAGAUUUAAGUAGAAGCAGAUCUUAACAUUGUGAAACACAUGGCCCUCUGUUUCAGAAACGGUCACAUCAGAGAGUGGAGUAGCAACAGACCCCUCAUCAUCCUCUGUGGAUUUGAGACAAGAGAAGCGUCGCAACUGUUGCUCGUGUAAGUAUCCCAGGUCCCGCAUGCAACUCCGUGGAGCCCCACCACCACCACCCGGCCGCCAAACACAACAUGCCGACGGGCCAGCCCUCAGACGCAACCCACAGCCUGACAAAACAGCCCUGCCGUGCAAAUCAAUCAGUGCAAAGACCUCCAUCCAGAAAAACAAGCGGGGAAAACAUGUGAGGUCGUCACAUUGACCGUAAACAAUGACUCAAUGAUUGACCACCUGUUUCGGUCAUGGAAGAAGAUAUCGUGCUAACCCCUUUCGAUCAGCUCUUUUUUAGCACUGCCUCCUCUGUCUCAGGGAUCUCCUUCUAAGGACAUCUAAAUGGUGUCCAUUACCACAUUUCUCAGGGCUCUCAAGCAAUCAGAGUGCAGUAGAGAUAGCAAUUUGCUCCGGUGGUAUUGAUUUUCAGCUAGGCAUUCUGACAAGAUUAUCGCCAUUUUAAUUACAUAACCGUCCACUAAAGAGAUGAGGUAAUGGCCAGUGUGCAGCUUGAGUGGCUAGAAACUCAAAGACCCUUGCACUACCUGAAAAGGAUGCUUUGAUACAGGAACAAAUUAAGGAAAUCUUUGGAACCAACUUCCCCAAAGGUUUAAUCAAGACAGUAUCUAGUAUUUACCCUUAGCCUGGCAGCCCCGGUGACCAUUAUAAAAAGGUCACUGUCAUUAGCAGGGGAAUUCUGAGGUAAUCUGUACUGUGUAAAAUGACAUCAAUGUUUUGUGUGUUUAUCAUGAAACACACCUACAUUAAAGCUGGCUUUAAGCAAACUAAGAAAAGGA